This is a long non-coding RNA of Betta splendens (Siamese fighting fish), 2088 nucleotides long. NCBI's taxonomy places the organism in Eukaryota, Metazoa, Chordata, Actinopteri, Anabantiformes, Osphronemidae. The record is from Ensembl.
AUGGCUCACAAUGAAAGUCUAAAUGUCCUUGAUGAUGGACUUGAGAACCAGAAGCUGGCAGCUAAAUUACCCGACUGGUUAAGCACCAGAUGGAACAGAAAGGCCACAGAAUAUCAAUUGGAGCAUGGGAGAUUCCCGAAGUUCAGUUAUUUUGUGACAUUCCUUUCAUUAGAGGCCAGUAUUGCUUGCAAUCCUAUUACAUCUUAUCAAGCAUUACGGCAGACUGAAUCUGAUAAAGUGAGGAUUAAAAAUCUGACAUUAGUAACUCCUAAAACCCAGACCAUAGGUUCCAAAAUAUUCACAACCAAUACCAGUGAGAGAAACAGAGUCACCUGUCUGUUCUGUAAGAAAGUAGGACAUGGUGUACAAAAGUGUUUCAAAUUACUGGACAAGGCAGUUGCUGACAGAGUCAAAUUCAUUCGAAGUGAAAAUCUAUGCUUCGGCUGUUUGAGCAUUGGCCAUCAGUCUAAGAAAUGUACCAAUCGGAUGGUCUGUGAAGUCUGCUCAAAACGUCACCCCACGUGUUUACACGAAGAUCGCUCAAACCGUGAACAAGGAGCAAAGAGAGAACAAUUCAAAGGAAGAGUUAGCACUAAAGAAUCAGCACAACCAAGUGUCAGUAACGAAAGCACGUCCAACAGAGUUGUACAAGAUGGUAACAGUGUACAGACUUCAGCCAUAGUUCCGGUGUAUGUGUCUUCACCAAAGGAUCCAAACAAGGAAGUUCUUGUUUAUGCUCUGUUAGAUUCACAGAGUGAUUCUUCAUUUAUUCUUGAGGAAGUAGCAGAUGUUCUAAACAUGGACACAGAACAAGUCAGACUGAAAUUGUCUACAAUGUCAUCUAAAGGGACAAUUGUAGUUUGUAAAAGACUCAAUGGUCUACAGAUAAGAGGACUAGACUCCUCUAAGAAAGUUACAGUGCCAACAGCUUAUACUCGGGAGUUCAUUCCUGCCAAUCGGACUCAUAUUCCAACUCCAGAGACAGCUCAGGCAUGGCCGCACUUGGAACAUCUUGCAGCACACAUGGCUCCACAGAAGGACUGUGCAAUUGGUCUCCUAAUAGGUUAUAAUUGCCCACAAGCAUUAUUACCUAGAGAAGUUGUAUGUGGAGAAGAAAACCAACCUUUUGCACAGAAGACUGACCUAGGUUGGAGCAUAGUGAGCUAUGUUGCACCGUUCGAGCACCAUGGUGAUGAUAUUGGAAUAAGUCAUCGCAUCAUUGUAAAGAGAGUGAUGCCAGAAUCCACACCUACAGCUAAACUUAAGAGUGAAUUUCACUAUGUGUGUAAGACUCAAAUCAAGGAAUUGACCACUCCAGACAAUGUAAUUAAGAUCCUAGAAUCUGAUUUCAGUGAAAGAGAUGUGGAGGAAGCAAUACUUUCUCAGGAAGAUUUCCACUUCUUGACCAAGCUGAAGGAGGGAAUCAUGCAGAAACAUGAUGGUCAUUAUGUAAUGCCCCUGCCUUUCAAACAAGACAGACCAAACCUGCCUAGCAAUAAAGCAUGUGCUGUUCAUCGGUUGUCAUGCUUAAAGCGCAGAUUCAAGAGAGACCAGAAAUAUCACACAGGCUAUAAGAACUUCAUGAAAGACCUCAUAGCUCGUGGUGAGGCAGAAAAGAUCACAGAUGAGGAAUUGAACAACGAACCAGCCUGGUAUAUACCUCAUCAUGGUGUAUACCACCCUCAAAAGCCAGGGAAGAUACGAGUAGUCUUUGAUUGCUCUGCAAGGUUUCAAGACACUUCCCUGAAUGACCAUCUUCUUACAGGUCCAGAUCUUACAAACAACUUGGUGGGAGUUCUUUGUAGGUUUCUUGAGGGACCCAUAGCUGUCAUGUGUGACGUCGAACGCAUGUUUCAUCAGUUUCAUGUUAAGACUGAAGACCAGGACUACUUAAGGUUCUUAUGGUGGGAGGAUGAUGAUCUGGAAUCUUCACCAUCAGUGUUUCGAAUGAAGGUACAUCUGUUCGGGGCAGCCUCCUCACCUGGGUGUGCCAACUUUGGGUUGAAGCAUUUAGCUAGUCAGUGUCAGGAUCAGUUCAGUGAAAGCACUGUUAAAUUCAUUCAAGUUUUUAUGUUGAUGAUGGAUUAG